GGCUUCUAUAAUACUUGUGUUAUCAUAUAGUUUAAAAAGUUGCAUGCAUGUCAGUGGCUUUUGUGCAAUUUUCUGAUGCUAAUUUAUAUUGAUUACUUCCAAAUUCUGUUCAUUGAGGUGCAUCUUCUCCAAACUUUGAUCCAACAUUUUGCUGUUGUCAGAAAUUUAUUAUUCAAGAAUCAGUAGAACAUGCACAUGCACCAGAAGAAGAAGCACAUGCUAUCUUUAAGUUAGUUUUAUCUUGGUGUUGGAGUGUAAUGAUAUCUAAUUUACUUAUUUUUUUUGAAAUAAAAAUGUGAUGUAUAUAUUAAUAAGAUACCAAAAAAGGAGAUACCACCCAUAUACAAAAGAUUUACAAUUGUGUUAAUGUAUCAAUAACAUUCUUAAAAUCUACAUCAUUAAUAAUGUCGUAAUCUAACAAAUAGACCCAAAAUAGUGAAUCCAUCCAUCUUUUAAUCUAUUAAUGCUAUUCUCAUCAAAAGUUCUACCAUUUCUCUCUUCCAAAUGACCCAAAAGACCAUAGACCAUGCACCAUAAGCUGUAGGUGGUCAGACACCACAAUAAAAGAUGAUUACAUAUUUCCUCAUCCUUCAGGCAGCAGUAACAGCUAUUCACCAACACCCUUCCUAUAAUUCUCAACUUGUCAAUACUUAAUGUUUUCUCCCAGCCAUUCACCAAUCUCCAAUUUACUUAUCCUCUUAUCUUCUAGUUUCUGACAUUUCCUCUUUGAGGUUUUUAGAUCACCAUCACCAUCACCAAAUUUGGUUUCAAAGCCGGCAUCCAGUGCACUGCGAAAUAACAGUCAGGGAAGGAUAACCAAAAAGGAUCUGCGGUUGCAUAAACGAGUUUUGGAGACAGAUAUUUUACCAGAUGGAACUGAAGUAGGAUAUUUUGUCCGUGGACAGAAAAUGCUGGUAGGCUAUAAAAAGGGGCCUGCAAUACUUUGCACCUGCUGCAACUCGGAGGUCAGUCCUUCACAGUUUGAAGCUCAUGCUGGUUGGGCAACUCGGCGUAAGCCGUAAGUAUACAUGCAAACUUGAGU
Molecule: non-coding RNA, 1042 nt
Organism: Carica papaya (papaya)
Lineage: Eukaryota; Viridiplantae; Streptophyta; Magnoliopsida; Brassicales; Caricaceae
Source: RefSeq, a predicted model, not a curated record